UAUAUAAACCUAAACACUAGAGGGCUCACUUGAGAUAAAUUCAUGUUCCUUUUGAUUUACGGCGGCCAUUUUACAUCAGGGCAACGGAGCACGCUAGCGCGCUAGCUACACACACAGUAGUGCAGUGGAAAUUAGAACUGCUGCAGUCAGCUGAUCGACGCGAAGGCGACAAGAAGAAGGCGACAAUAAAAAUGCCAAGCUCUUGUGCCUGCUAUUGUUGCUCCAAUCGUUGGAAGAGUGGAACGUCUAUUUGUUUCCACCGGUACAUGUAUUCAUCCAAGGGAUGACAGAGAAAAAUACAGGCAUACACUGACGGCACAGGCAGUCCCUUCUUUGUUUCUUUGUCAUCCACCCCUCAAGCAGCCUGUCAUCCAAAAGAGGAAGCCUCCCAUCAAAAGAAGUCUGCCAACAGAGGAUACAGUACCAUCUGGCCUUCACCCAAAAGGAUUUACAAUGAACAUUCAUUAAUUUGAAUGAGGAGUUGAUGAAAGAAAAGCUGCAAGACACUCGGAAAAGGCUUGCUGAAACAAUGAAGGAACUCAAGUUUGCGAAAAGAAAAAUCAAGACGAGAGAGAAGACCAUCUCAUCUCUCCUUAGCAGCAUUUUUAUGAUCAAUAAUAUUUAGAAGAUGAAAAUGACCAUUGUGAACAGCUCAUUAGGCAUUUCAUUUUGCUGUACAUUAAGAUUGUUUCCCAACAUCACGGCAGGCUGUUCACUCGUCGUUCAGCCAUUAAAAAGGCCUCGUAGAAACCUAUUGUGCACCAGCUCCAAUCCCAUGAAAGAAUGUAAAGCUAUUCUACACAGCGUUCAACAAAAAGUGAUCGAAUCUGUUUAAUAGGCAUAAGGUGUUUAAAGACCUAAAAGCAACAUUUUAUAUCAAUAAUAUUCAGAAGAUGAAGGUGAUCAUUGUGUACAACAGCUCUUAAGGCAUUUCAGUUCGCUGUACAUUAAGACUGUUUCCCAUCAUUACAACAGGCUGUUCACUCGUCAUUAUGUUAAUUUGUCUUCUUGAUGGCUGAUUGUUAUUAACGAAGGCAAUUUUGCUUCUAGGUCAGUAAUUUUGACAAACCUGACUAUAACAAGGACAUUGGAACUCGGACAAUUUGUUAUUAAUGUCACUAAUCUCCCAGGAUUCAGAAGUCAGGAUUAAAAGAAAAAGAACAUGAAGGCUUGUGAUCAGCAAAAUUACAUUGUUAUAACAGGGCUGUAUGGUUAUAUCUGGGCCCCGUUGCAUAAAAGUUACUAUCAUGGAAACUUUGCCACCCAAUGGUAACUUUCAAGGGAUCCUUGAUUUUGAUUGGCUGAUGAGCAUUGUUACCAUGGUAGUUACCAUUGGAUGGUUAAGUUACCAUAAUGGUAACUUUUAUGCAACAGGGCCCAGAUCACUUAAUAUUGAGUUUCAACAAUAUACAUGAUUUUAACUUUGAAAUACAUUUACUGUCAUUUUCCUUACCAGAAUUUUUCCAAAAAAUGAAAAUUGUUUUUUUGGGGUCCUCCAUUUAUCCUUCUGUCUAUUUGACAGAUCAGUUUUAAACUUUGUUCAUGUAUGCACAAAGGGGUGAGGAGGAUAGAUAUAUUAUCUACUUGCUUUAUUGUUCCAGGAUUAAGUCAUGAAUCCAGUUACAAGAUAUUACUUUAGAACAAUUGCCGUAGGGGCUUUUGUUUUGUACAUGUAGUCAUGUACUACCAUUUUUAUACAUGUACAUCCCCUUAAAAUAAUGAUAAAAAUGAAUGAAUAAAUGAAUGAAUAAUUGAUUGAAAAUCUGAAUUAAAAAACUGUAAUUCAAAAGCAUUCGUAUAAACAGUAUAAACAAUAUGGGAGCAAAGCAUAUAUCACUUGUAUGAUAUUCUUUUGGAUGUAUACAAUGCAUUUUCUCAAUGAUAAGAUUGCCAUUUUGAGUAUGUGUGUACAGUAAAAUGGGGGCAAAUUGGACACGGAGACAUAACCUAUGACUAUGACAUUUACAUAUUUUUGCUGAGCUGUUGGCUUUUUUGGAAAAUAUAUGUUUAUGAUAUGAAAGGAGUGGCGUAGAGGCAUCACUUUAUAACAUACAAAAAUAUUUUCAAUGAAACCAACUGAAAAAAAAAUGAUUUUGAAACUGUGUAGACUCACCCAUGUUAACAAUAUGCCAACUUUUUGAAAUUAAAUAAAGACUCUGUCAGAAAGGUCACCAAAAGCCAAGGGACAUGUAUGCCAUCUUGGGCUUUCUGUUAUGGUGUACUUGCAUAUUCCGGUAUACAGUACAUGCACAUUUCUAUAUUAAUGAAAUAUAAUCUAUAUAUAAGAUGAUAUAUGAUAUAAAUAUAAUAUGUAUAAUAAUAAUAAUAUAUAUAAUAGAAAUAUAAUAUAUAUAAUUGAACAGUUAACAUUCUGCUGCUUUUUAUAGAAGAUAACUUUUUAUUACAGAAUAAUUUUUGUACUGAAAUACAUGCAUUGUUAUGAGGUUUUAUAUAACAACAAAGCCCCCCC
Lytechinus variegatus (green sea urchin) is the source of this 2470-nucleotide long non-coding RNA. RefSeq lists it as uncharacterized. The transcript is spliced from 2 exons. The record is from RefSeq and is a predicted model, not a curated record. NCBI's taxonomy places the organism in Eukaryota, Metazoa, Echinodermata, Echinoidea, Temnopleuroida, Toxopneustidae.